RNAcentral lists this ribosomal RNA (482 nucleotides) under uncultured bacterium. Its description in RNAcentral is "partial 16S ribosomal RNA". It matches the Rfam family "Bacterial small subunit ribosomal RNA", at positions 29 to 507 of the family's 1533-position model. The record is from RNAcentral.
AUUGAACGCUGGCGGCAUGCUUUACACAUGCAAGUCGAACGGUAACAGGCCGCAAGGUGCUGACGAGUGGCGAACGGGUGAGUAAUGCAUCGGAACGUGCCCAGUCGUGGGGGAUAACUACUCGAAAGAGUAGCUAAUACCGCAUACGAUCUAUGGAUGAAAGCGGGGGACCGUAAGGCCUCGCGCGAUUGGAGCGGCCGAUGUCAGAGUAGGUAGUUGGUGGGGUAAAGGCUCACCAAGCCAACGAUCUGUAGCCGGUCAGAGAGGACGACCAGCCACACUGGGACUGAGACACGGCCCAGACUCCUACGGGAGGCAGCAGUGGGGAAUUUUGGACAAAGGGCGCAAGCCUGAUCCAGCAAUGCCGCGUGCAGGAAGAAGGCCUUCGGGUUGUAAACUGCUUUUGUACGGAACGAAACGGCUCUGGUUAAUACCCGGGGAUAAUGACGGUACCGUAAGAAUAAGCACCGGCUAACUACGUG